RNAcentral lists this long non-coding RNA (786 nucleotides) under Ananas comosus (pineapple). RNAcentral's name for it is "long non-coding RNA (ACOM_LNC044792)". Lineage: Eukaryota; Viridiplantae; Streptophyta; Magnoliopsida; Poales; Bromeliaceae. The record is from RNAcentral.
AGCUGAAUUGAGGCGUGGUUUGAAUUUUGCGGACGAAAUUCUUUUAAGGCGUAGAGAAUGUAACAUACCAGAUUUUGGUAUAAAAAUAAAAAAAUAAAUAAAAAUAGUGUGAGAAACUAUUUUUAUUGAAUUUAUAGAAGUAAAACAUAAGUCAGAAGUGACUUCUGCUGAAAUCGGAAUGAAAACAGAAGAUCUAGAAUUUUCUGUUGGAAACGGGACAGAUAAAUUAGCAGAAAAUGCACAGUCUCAGAAAAUUAUGAAAAUUGGAGGAUAAGUCAGAAAUACUUUUAUGAGGUAAGAUUUCAAGUGUCAUAUUUUUCUGACACCCAUAGAGUGAGAAAUAAAAUUCGACAGCUAUCUGAUAAAGAUUACAGUUCGGUACAAUUUUCGGUGACCAAACGGGGUCGAAACUGGAAACUUAAGACAUAUUCUUACUCAGUACGUUAAACUGAGCAUGUCUGUCAAAUUUGAGCUCAAUCGGACAUUUAGAAGGGCUCCAACGAAACGUAUCAGAUUUCAAGCUGCCCGAGGUGAAUAGUGCAAUGUUGAGGGGCUGAUUUGUAAAAUGGGAUUUAAUCCCUUUUUCUCUUCUUUUCUUCAGCCAUGCACACCACAACCACACACACACGCACACCAUACACGCAUGGAAGGGAAAGGAGAAAGCUCUCCUUUCUCUCUCUAAAUAUCUUCCAAAAAAGAGAUGAUUUUGGUGGAGAUCGAAGCUCUAAGGUGGAUUUCCAUCUUCUCCAUCUUCUUCCUCUCCAUUGAAGCAAGGUUUGAAGGUAA